AAUCCGUGUUGUGGGUACCUCCGUAAAAGAUCCUUGAAGCGCUUCCAUGUCUCAAACAAUGAUUCCAACUUCAUCUGCAUAAACAAUAAUAUCUCAUUGCGAAGCUU
Dioscorea cayenensis subsp. rotundata (Guinea yam) is the source of this 107-nucleotide small nucleolar RNA. Lineage: Eukaryota; Viridiplantae; Streptophyta; Magnoliopsida; Dioscoreales; Dioscoreaceae. The record is from RefSeq and is a predicted model, not a curated record.